AAGUCGUAACAAGGUCUCCGUAGGUGAACCUGCGGAGGGAUCAUUAACACGUAUCCAACACGUUCAAACCAAAACCUGUGCUCUUUUGUUUGCCCAUAGCUGUCAAUGGUGUAAAUGUAAGCCACUUACCAAGGUAGAUUCGAGGGGGGGGACUUAAUAACCCCCCCUCCUCGUCUGCUUACAAUACUACGGCUCCUCCGAGGGUCAAACUAUUCAGCUAUGGUGUAUCCGCAAUGCUACCUUGGGUUAUCAGUGCCACCCCGGUUCCGACCCGGAGCCUGGUAACCUUAUUACUCCUUAAUUUUUAACCCCUUUCAUUAAACAUGAACUGAUUUUAUUUACUCUUCUACCUAACGGUGAAGAUGUAUACGAAACGUGAACAACUCUUAGCAACGGAUAUCUUGGUUCUC
This 410-nucleotide unclassified non-coding RNA is filed under the name fungal sp. Its description in RNAcentral is "partial internal transcribed spacer region". The stretch from base 1 to 46 matches the Rfam family "Eukaryotic small subunit ribosomal RNA", at positions 1786 to 1831 of the family's 1831-position model. The record is from RNAcentral. Lineage: Eukaryota; Fungi.